CCUACGGGCGGCAGCAGUGGGGAAUAUUGGGCAAUGGGCGCAAGCCUGACCCAGCAACGCCGCGUGAAGGAAGAAGGUUUUCGGGUUGUAAACUUCUUUUCUGAGGGACGAAGAAAGUGACGGUACCUCAGGAAUAAGCCACGGCUAACUACGUGCCAGCAGCCGCGGUAAUACGUAGGUGGCAAGCUGUAUCCGGAGUUAUUGGGUGUAAAGGGCGUGGAGGCGGGAACGUAAGUCAGAUGUGAAAACUCAGGGCUCAACCCUGAGCCUGCAUUUGAAACUGUUUUUCUUGAGUGCUGGAGAGGCAAUCGGAAUUCCGAGUGUAGCGGUGAAAUGCGUAGAUAUACGGAGGAACACCAGUGGCGAAGGCGGAUUGCUGGACAGUAACUGACGCUGAGGCGCGAAAGCGUGGGGAGCAAACAGGAUUAGAUACCCCAGUAGUC
RNAcentral lists this ribosomal RNA (443 nucleotides) under uncultured bacterium. Its description in RNAcentral is "partial 16S ribosomal RNA". It matches the Rfam family "Bacterial small subunit ribosomal RNA", at positions 338 to 795 of the family's 1533-position model. The record is from RNAcentral.